This 478-nucleotide ribosomal RNA is filed under the name uncultured bacterium. RNAcentral's name for it is "partial 16S ribosomal RNA". It matches the Rfam family "Bacterial small subunit ribosomal RNA", at positions 28 to 523 of the family's 1533-position model. The record is from RNAcentral.
GACGAACGCUGGCGGCGUGCUUAACACAUGCAAGUCGAACGGUAAGGCCCUUCGGGGUACACGAGUGGCGAACGGGUGAGUAACACGUGGGUGAUCUGCCCUGCACUUCGGGAUAAGCCUGGGAAACUGGGUCUAAUACCGGAUAGGACCACUGCCUGCAUGGGUGGUGGUGGAAAGCUUUUGCGGUGUGGGAUGGGCCCGCGGCCUAUCAGCUAGUUGGUGGGGUAACGGCCUACCAAGGCGACGAUCCGUAGCUGAUCUUAGAGGAUGAUCAGCCACACUGGGACUGAGACACGGCCCAGACUCCUACGGGAGGCAGCAGUGGGGAAUAUUGCACAAUGGGCGCAAGCCUGAUGCAGCGACGCCGCGUGAGGGAUGACGGCCUUCGGGUUGUAAACCUCUUUCAGCACCGACGAAGCGCAAGUGACAGUAGGUGCAGAAGAAGGACCGGCCAACUACGUGCCAGCAGCCGCGGUAA